RNAcentral lists this ribosomal RNA (450 nucleotides) under uncultured bacterium. RNAcentral's name for it is "partial 16S ribosomal RNA". It matches the Rfam family "Bacterial small subunit ribosomal RNA", at positions 354 to 796 of the family's 1533-position model. The record is from RNAcentral.
GUGGGGAAUUUUGGACAAUGGGCGCAAGCCUGAUCCAGCAAUGCCGCGUGCAGGAAGAAGGCCUUCGGGUUGUAAACUGCUUUUGUACGGAACGAAACGGUCCGGGUUAAUACCCUGGGCUAAUGACGGUACCGUAAGAAUAAGCACCGGCUAACUACGUGCCAGCAGCCGCGGUAAUACGUAGGGUGCAAGCGUUAAUCGGAAUUACUGGGCGUAAAGCGUGCGCAGGCGGUUUUGUAAGACAGGCGUGAAAUCCCCGGGCUCAACCUGGGAAUUGCGCUUGUGACUGCAAGGCUGGAGUGCGGCAGAGGGGGAUGGAAUUCCGCGUGUAGCAGUGAAAUGCGUAGAUAUGUGGAGGAACACCGAUGGCGAAGGCAAUCCCCUGGGCCUGCACUGACGCUCAUGCACGAAAGCGUGGGGAGCAAACAGGAUUAGAUACCCGUGUAGUCC